RNAcentral lists this ribosomal RNA (1366 nucleotides) under Klebsiella sp. RNAcentral describes it as "bacterial SSU rRNA". The record is from RNAcentral. Lineage: Bacteria; Pseudomonadati; Pseudomonadota; Gammaproteobacteria; Enterobacterales; Enterobacteriaceae.
AGCUUGCUCUCGGGUGACGAGCGGCGGACGGGUGAGUAAUGUCUGGGAAACUGCCUGAUGGAGGGGGAUAACUACUGGAAACGGUAGCUAAUACCGCAUAACGUCGCAAGACCAAAGUGGGGGACCUUCGGGCCUCAUGCCAUCAGAUGUGCCCAGAUGGGAUUAGCUAGUAGGUGGGGUAAUGGCUCACCUAGGCGACGAUCCCUAGCUGGUCUGAGAGGAUGACCAGCCACACUGGAACUGAGACACGGUCCAGACUCCUACGGGAGGCAGCAGUGGGGAAUAUUGCACAAUGGGCGCAAGCCUGAUGCAGCCAUGCCGCGUGUAUGAAGAAGGCCUUCGGGUUGUAAAGUACUUUCAGCGAGGAGGAAGGCGUUAAGGUUAAUAACCUUAGCGAUUGACGUUACUCGCAGAAGAAGCACCGGCUAACUCCGUGCCAGCAGCCGCGGUAAUACGGAGGGUGCAAGCGUUAAUCGGAAUUACUGGGCGUAAAGCGCACGCAGGCGGUCUGUCAAGUCGGAUGUGAAAUCCCCGGGCUCAACCUGGGAACUGCAUUCGAAACUGGCAGGCUAGAGUCUUGUAGAGGGGGGUAGAAUUCCAGGUGUAGCGGUGAAAUGCGUAGAGAUCUGGAGGAAUACCGGUGGCGAAGGCGGCCCCCUGGACAAAGACUGACGCUCAGGUGCGAAAGCGUGGGGAGCAAACAGGAUUAGAUACCCUGGUAGUCCACGCCGUAAACGAUGUCGACUUGGGAGGUUGUGCCCUUGAGGCGUGGCUUCCGGAGCUAACGCGUUAAGUCGACCGCCUGGGGGAGUACGGCCGCAAGGUUAAAACUCAAAUGAAUUGACGGGGGCCCGCACAAGCGGUGGARCAUGGUGGUUUAAUUCGAUGCAACGCGAAGAACCUUACCUACUCUUGACAUCCAGAGAACUUAGCAGAGAUGCUUUGGUGCCUUCGGGAACUCUGAGACAGGUGCUGCAUGGCUGUCGUCAGCUCGUGUUGUGAAAUGUUGGGUUAAGUCCCGCAACGAGCGCAACCCUUAUCCUUUGUUGCCAGCGGUCCGGCCGGGAACUCAAAGGAGACUGCCAGUGAUAAACUGGAGGAAGGUGGGGAUGACGUCAAGUCAUCAUGGCCCUUACGAGUAGGGCUACACACGUGCUACAAUGGCAUAUACAAAGAGAAGCGACCUCGCGAGAGCAAGCGGACCUCAUAAAGUAUGUCGUAGUCCGGAUUGGAGUCUGCAACUCGACUCCAUGAAGUCGGAAUCGCUAGUAAUCGUAGAUCAGAAUGCUACGGUGAAUACGUUCCCGGGCCUUGUACACACCGCCCGUCACACCAUGGGAGUGGGUUGCAAAAGAAGUAGGUAGCU